This 484-nucleotide ribosomal RNA is filed under the name uncultured bacterium. RNAcentral's name for it is "partial 16S ribosomal RNA". It matches the Rfam family "Bacterial small subunit ribosomal RNA", at positions 30 to 507 of the family's 1533-position model. The record is from RNAcentral.
AUUGAACGCUGGCGGCAGGCCUAACACAUGCAAGUCGAGCGGAUGAAGGGAGCUUGCUCCUGGAUUCAGCGGCGGACGGGUGAGUAAUGCCUAUGAAUCUGCCUGGUAGUGGGGGAUAACGUCCUGAAACGGGCGCUAAUACCGCAUACGUCCUGAGGGAGAAAGUGGGGGAUCUUCGGACCUCACGCUAUCAGAUGAGCCUAGGUCGGAUUAGCUAGUUGGUGGGGUAAAGGCCUACCAAGGCGACGAUCCGUAACUGGUCUGAGAGGAUGAUCAGUCACACUGGAAGUGAGACAGGGUCCAGACUCCUACGGGAGGCAGCAGUGGGGAAUAUUGGACAAUGGGGGAAAGCAUGAUACAGCCAUGCCGCGUGUGUGAAGAAGGUCUUCGGAUUGUAAAGCACUUUAAGUUGGGAGGAAGGGCAGUAAGUUAAUACCUUGCUGUUUUGACGUUACCAACAGAAUAAGCACCGGCUAACUUCGUG